RNAcentral lists this unclassified non-coding RNA (253 nucleotides) under uncultured Chitinophagales bacterium. Its description in RNAcentral is "contains 16S-23S intergenic spacer region". It matches the Rfam family "Bacterial small subunit ribosomal RNA", at positions 524 to 776 of the family's 1533-position model. Lineage: Bacteria; Pseudomonadati; Bacteroidota; Chitinophagia; Chitinophagales. The record is from RNAcentral.
UACGGAGGGUGCAAGCGUUAUCCGGAUUUACUGGGUUUAAAGGGUGAGUAGGCGGCCAAAUAAGUCAGUGGUGAAAGCCCGCAGCUUAACUGCGGAAUUGCCAUUGAAACUGUCUGGCUUGAGUACAGUCGAGGAAGGCGGAAUGUAGCAUGUAGCGGUGAAAUGCUUAGAUAUGCUACAGAACACCAAUUGCGAAGGCAGCUUUCUAGACUGCUACUGACGCUGAGGCACGAAAGCGUGGGGAGCGAACAGG